This 519-nucleotide ribosomal RNA is filed under the name uncultured bacterium. Its description in RNAcentral is "bacterial SSU rRNA". It matches the Rfam family "Bacterial small subunit ribosomal RNA", at positions 19 to 518 of the family's 1533-position model. The record is from RNAcentral.
CUGGCUCAGAACGAACGCUGGCGGCGUGCUUAACACAUGCAAGUCGAACGCGAAAGGGACUUCGGUCCUGAGUAAAGUGGCGCACGGGUGAGUAACGCGUAGAUAACCUGUCUUCAUGUCUGGAAUAAUACGCCGAAAGGGGUACUAAUACCGGAUAUUCUUGCUUUUCAUAAGUUAUGCAAGCAAAGGUGGCCUCUGCAUAUGCUACUGCAUGAAGAGGGGUCUGCGUACCAUUAGCUAGUAGGUGGGGUAAUGGCCUACCUAGGCGACGAUGGUUAGCGGGUCUGAGAGGAUGAUCCGCCACACUGGCACUGGAACACGGGCCAGACUCCUACGGGAGGCAGCAGUGAGGAAUAUUGCGCAAUGGGGGAAACCCUGACGCAGCGGCGCCGCGUGAGUGAGGAAGGCCUUCGGGUCGUAAAGCUCUGUCAAGAGGAAAGAAGUGUACAAUGGCUAAUACCUGUUGUAUUUGACGGUACCUCUAAAGGAAGCACCGGCUAACUCCGUGCCAGCCGCGGC